UAAUUAACACAUAAGAUAGGUCGACGA
RNAcentral lists this non-coding RNA (27 nucleotides) under Bombyx mori (domestic silkworm). Lineage: Eukaryota; Metazoa; Arthropoda; Insecta; Lepidoptera; Bombycidae. RNAcentral also lists the same sequence under 1 other name. The record is from RNAcentral.